AGCAGCCGCGGUAAUUCCAGCUCCAAUAGCGUAUAUUAAAGUUGUUGCAGUUAAAAAGCUCGUAGUUGAAUUUCGGGAUCAGUACGGCGGUCGUGCCUCUGGUAUGUACUGUUGUUACUGGUUCCUCCCUUCUGAAGAACUGUCAUGUCAUUAAUUUGGUGUGGCGGGGAAUCAGGACUGUUACUUUAGAAAAAUUAGAGUAGUUUAAAGCAGGCUCGCGCUUGAAUACAUUAGCAUGGAAUAAUGAAAUAGGACGUUUGAUCCUAUUUUGUUGGUUUCUAGGAUUGACGUAAUGAUUAAUAGGGAUAGUUGGGGGCAUUAGUAUUCAAUUGUCAGAGGUGAAAUUCUUGGUAUUUAUUGAAGACUAACUACUGACGAAAGCAUUUGCCAAGGAUUGU
This 398-nucleotide ribosomal RNA is filed under the name uncultured Glomus. Its description in RNAcentral is "SSU rRNA". It matches the Rfam family "Eukaryotic small subunit ribosomal RNA", at positions 569 to 968 of the family's 1831-position model. Lineage: Eukaryota; Fungi; Glomeromycota; Glomeromycetes; Glomerales; Glomeraceae. The record is from RNAcentral.